Molecule: transfer RNA, 71 nt
Filed under: Bos taurus (domestic cattle)
Lineage: Eukaryota; Metazoa; Chordata; Mammalia; Artiodactyla; Bovidae
Also listed under: 1 other name
Rfam family: tRNA
About the family: Transfer RNA (tRNA) molecules are approximately 80 nucleotides in length. Their secondary structure includes four short double-helical elements and three loops (D, anti-codon, and T loops).
Source: Rfam by way of RNAcentral
UCCCUGAUAGCUCAGUUGGUAAAGAAUCUGCCUGCAAUGCAGAAGACCUGGUUCGAUUCCUGGGUCGGGAA